RNAcentral lists this unclassified non-coding RNA (374 nucleotides) under soil metagenome. RNAcentral's name for it is "partial contains internal transcribed spacer 2 and large subunit ribosomal RNA". The stretch from base 1 to 120 matches the Rfam family "5.8S ribosomal RNA", at positions 35 to 154 of the family's 154-position model. The record is from RNAcentral.
GAUGAAGAACGUAGCGAAAUGCGAUAAUUAAUGUGAAUUGCAGAAUUCCGUGAAUCAUCGAGUCUUUGAACGCAUAUUGCGCCUCAUGGCAUUCAGUGAGGCAUGCCCAUCUCAGCGUUAGAAAAUAUUCUCAAAUUUUAGUUUUGUGCUAAAAUUUGGAUCAUCUCAAGGAAGCUAUUACUAUUAUUGUGAUCGCUCUUUGGAAAUUGAUAGGUCUUUGAGUUGCUACUCAUAGAACGUGAUGAAUCUUUCUUCGUUCUAUUGUAAAUCACUCUGGUAGUCCUAAAACUUGUAUGCCUGUGGCAUAUCUUGUAAUUUGACCUGAGAUUGGGUAGGGAUACCCGCUGAACUUAAGCAUAUCAAUAAGCGGAGGA